Molecule: ribosomal RNA, 253 nt
Filed under: uncultured bacterium
Lineage: Bacteria
Description: partial 16S ribosomal RNA
Rfam family: Bacterial small subunit ribosomal RNA
Source: RNAcentral
UACGGAGGGUGCAAGCGUUAUCCGGAUUCACUGGGUUUAAAGGGCGCGCAGGCGGGCUGGUAAGUCAGUGGUGAAAGCCUUGAGCUUAACUCGAGAACUGCCAUUGAUACUAUCAGUCUUGAAUAUUGUUGAGGUUUGCGGAAUGGGUCAUGUAGCGGUGAAAUGCAUAGAUAUGACCCGGAACACCUAUUGCGAAGGCAGCAGGCUAAACAAAGAUUGACGCUGAGGCUCGAAAGCGUGGGGAGCAAACAGG